Molecule: long non-coding RNA, 386 nt
Filed under: Nicotiana benthamiana
Lineage: Eukaryota; Viridiplantae; Streptophyta; Magnoliopsida; Solanales; Solanaceae
Description: long non-coding RNA (NBEN_LNC041474)
Source: RNAcentral
GAAGAUUCUCUUUAUUCCCACCUCAAGCUCGGUCAUUGGCUGUCCUCCUCAAUCGAUUAGACUAUGGCGAAUCACUUGUGUAUUGGUCUUUGGGAAAGUGUAAGACGCUAUUGCUCGCAACUGGGUCUUGAGUGUCGGUCUAACAAAAAAGUCAACUCUAGUUGCUUCUCUUGUCCGAUCGGAAACUGGUCUUCUUUUUAUGGUGUAAGGGUCGGCAACAGCUCCCUUUGGAAGGAAUCGAUCGUCAACGUCUUUGGUUCUCUCCACCCGCCGCCUUCGGUCAACUCAAACAACAGGCCAGGAAGGACAUUGUUGAAGGCUCACUGAGUGCUUCUAGGUUAAAGGGAAGCACUAGACUCACUCCACGGGAACUCGCUUUUCGGUUU